RNAcentral lists this ribosomal RNA (253 nucleotides) under uncultured bacterium. Its description in RNAcentral is "partial 16S ribosomal RNA". It matches the Rfam family "Bacterial small subunit ribosomal RNA", at positions 524 to 776 of the family's 1533-position model. The record is from RNAcentral.
UACGUAGGGUGCGAGCGUUAAUCGGAAUUACUGGGCGUAAAGCGUGCGUAGGUGGUGAGUUAAGUCUGUCGUGAAAGCCCCGGGCUCAACCUGGGAAUGGCGAUGGAUACUGGCUCGCUGGAGUGCGGUAGAGGAGAGUGGAAUUCCUGGUGUAGCGGUGGAAUGCGCAGAUAUCAGGAGGAACACCAAUAGCGAAGGCAGCUCGCUGGGACGUUACUGACGCUAAGGCGCGAAAGCGUGGGGAGCGAACAGG